This 320-nucleotide small RNA is filed under the name Histoplasma ohiense. Its description in RNAcentral is "hypothetical lncRNA". The record is from RNAcentral. Lineage: Eukaryota; Fungi; Ascomycota; Eurotiomycetes; Onygenales; Ajellomycetaceae.
AGGCGCUGUCGAUGGUUUUCGCAUACAGACCCUUGCGUAAUAGGUGUGUGUCCCACUUUACUUACCUUGUUCUCACUGUAUACACUGCAUAAGCAAGCCUAAAUAUCACCGCCAUCCUCCACACUCAUAAGCUACUUCUUGAACACCGACUGCCUCAGUAUACAUAAACCAUCCCAGCUGGUCAAAAGACCGGAAGUCGCUCUUGCUGGUCGUUGAUGACGAAUCGAUAGGCCAACACACAAAACCCCGCACAACUGGGGAUGGAGCAAACAUUGUGGCUUUGUUCAUCAGCACACCCACAGGCCGUGACCGGAACGAGU